RNAcentral lists this long non-coding RNA (1357 nucleotides) under Homo sapiens (human). Its description in RNAcentral is "HSALNT0172542". Lineage: Eukaryota; Metazoa; Chordata; Mammalia; Primates; Hominidae. The record is from RNAcentral.
GUGCUGCUAUCAAGGACACAGGAGUAGGACAUUUUGGAUCCAAGGACCAAUAGGUUGACUCAUUCACUAGUGGAGAGUAUCAAAGAAAGAAAAAUUUAAAAACUAAACAACAGAUUUGACAAGCUGCCUGCCAUCUGAAAGUGAGAAAGAAUGUGAUAUUAAUUGAGCAUCUUCUGAGCAAGCUAUAUGCUGUACAUAUGCUUUUCUUCAAAACAUCCCUUCAAGAAAAUGGAAACCCAAAUCUGUGCCACAUUCCUCUGCAAAGAGUGUCCAAAUGAGGGAGAGAAGAGGAAAGAGGGGGCGGAAGGAAUUCACCGUACUCUCCAGUACCCCAGUUGCUGGCUGGUUAAUGAAGCAUUCUUCUCAUCAAGCUGCCUCAGUUAUUUACCAAGAGAAUGACAACCCAUUCCCCACCCCCAGCUCGAACACCCACUGUGAUCAGCUCCCUCACUUCAUGACAAUGAGGCGAUAUGUGUGGGACUGGUUUUCGCAUAACUACAAAGCUUCAAAAAAAAAGUGAGAAUAAAUAUUUACUUCCAGUGUAUUUCAAGCAACACAGAAGGAAAAUCUUCAAUAUUAAACUGACUUAUUUCCAACGAUAUCUUGCAUUUUACUGUGGGUAAAAUGAAUACUUUGAAUAAGAUUUUCCAAUUUUAGACAAAAAGAGGGCAAUUUUUUGAUGAUAGGUUUCAUCUGCUGUGACAAAUGUUAGUGUGAUCCACUUGCUUGAGGGCUCGUAUAAUCAUUUCAUAGCGUGUGUGUGUGUGUGUGUGUGUGUGUGUGUGUGUAUGUGUGUGUAUACACCUCACAUAGGCAGGACAGAAGAAAUGAGUGUAGAAUCAAGCUCAUACUGGAUGUCUGAUGUGUACAAUGCAUGUGCAUAUGCAUUUGAGUUUGGAAAAAAUUCCCAAGCUAUACAUGGAAUUUUUUUUUUAAGUUAGUCACUUUUUGGUCCCACAGCUUUUAUUUUGGAGCUUUUCUGGUAAAAAGGACAUCUCUAUCCAAUAUCACCUGGACGAGAGUGCUGUUCAAACACAGGUGCUAUUACUUCAGCCCAUUUCUAGCUCAUGAUCUAAGAAAUAUGCUCUGCUGAGUAGAGUUCCAUAAAAGCAGGGCCUGUGACUCAGUCAUCUCUGUCCCUCAUGAUACUCAGGACAGCAAACAAAUGCUUUCCAAACAAUUUCAGAGUGAAUUCUAGGAGGGCUAUUUCAAGGUCAACUCUAUAAUUUAUCUCCUUGUUGGCUUUCUUCCCUCAUCUCACAACUUCCAAAAAUCCGGCCAAGGGGCAUUCAUAUUCACAUGCUGGAAAUGAUUUAAUUCUAUCUUCUAUAUGGAUAUCACUAACUUGGCAUGAAAA